This 629-nucleotide ribosomal RNA is filed under the name Thalassobacillus sp. SCULCB HNA-5. RNAcentral's name for it is "bacterial SSU rRNA". It matches the Rfam family "Bacterial small subunit ribosomal RNA", at positions 77 to 681 of the family's 1533-position model. Lineage: Bacteria; Bacillati; Bacillota; Bacilli; Caryophanales; Bacillaceae. The record is from RNAcentral.
CCUUCGGGGGUGACGCUUGUGGAACGAGCGGCGGACGGGUGAGUAACACGUGGGCAACCUGCCUGUAAGACUGGGAUAACCCCGGGAAACCGGGGCUAAUACCGGAUAACACCGGACUCCACAUGGAGUCGGGUUGAAAGAUGGCUUCUCGCUAUCACUUACAGAUGGGCCCGCGGCGCAUUAGCUAGUUGGUGAGGUAACGGCUCACCAAGGCGACGAUGCGUAGCCGACCUGAGAGGGUGAUCGGCCACACUGGGACUGAGACACGGCCCAGACUCCUACGGGAGGCAGCAGUAGGGAAUCUUCCGCAAUGGACGAAAGUCUGACGGAGCAACGCCGCGUGAACGAUGAAGGUCUUCGGAUCGUAAAGUUCUGUUGUCAGGGAAGAACAAGUGCCGUGCGAAUAGAGCGGCACCUUGACGGUACCUGACGAGGAAGCCCCGGCUAACUACGUGCCAGCAGCCGCGGUAAUACGUAGGGGGCAAGCGUUGUCCGGAAUUAUUGGGCGUAAAGCGCGCGCAGGCGGUUCCUUAAGUCUGAUGUGAAAGCCCACGGCUCAACCGUGGAGGGUCAUUGGAAACUGGGGAACUUGAGUACAGAAGAGGAGAGUGGAAUUCCACGUGUAGCGG